GACGAACGCUGGCGGCGUGCCUAAUACAUGCAAGUAGAACGCACAGUUUAUACCGUAGCUUGCUACACCAUAGACUGUGAGUUGCGAACGGGUGAGUAACGCGUAGGUAACCUGCCUGGUAGCGGGGGAUAACUAUUGGAAACGAUAGCUAAUACCGCUUAAUAUUAAUUAUUGCAUGAUAAUUGAUUGAAAGAUGCAACUGCAUCACUACCAGAUGGACCUGCGUUGUAUUAGCUAGUAGGUGAGGUAACGGCUCACCUAGGCGGCGAUACAUAGCCGACCUGAGAGGGUGAUCGGCCACACUGGGACUGAGACACGGCCCAGACUCCUACGGGAGGCAGCAGUAGGGAAUCUUCGGCAAUGGACGAAAGUCUGACCGAGCAACGCCGCGUGAGUGAAGAAGGUUUUCGGAUCGUAAAGCUCUGUUGUAAGAGAAGAACGGGUGUGAGAGUGGAAAGUUCACACUGUGACGGUAUCUUACCAGAAAGGGACGGCUAACUACGUG
RNAcentral lists this ribosomal RNA (505 nucleotides) under uncultured bacterium. RNAcentral's name for it is "partial 16S ribosomal RNA". It matches the Rfam family "Bacterial small subunit ribosomal RNA", at positions 28 to 507 of the family's 1533-position model. The record is from RNAcentral.